CAGUAACACUUAUGUCUCUUUACAAAUUUAACCCCACCUUAGAGGAAGAGCAGAGCUCUUCACAUGCUUCCCUUUCUGUAUUCUUCAACCACUUUAUUCAAGCUUUAUCUUCCUCUAAUUAAUGGAGUUUCAAUUCUUCAUCCCAUUCCAGAAAAAUCAUAACAUCCCCAUUUCCAUCCCCAUUUUCGUUCGGUGUUCCUCUCUCCUAUUUGCUUUUGGUUCUUUUUAAUUCAAAUAGCUAAAUGUUGAAAAAUACCAAGUUAAUUCCAAGAACCUGGACAUUUCAAUUUCCCCUUCUGUAAAAGAAAUUGACCUUGGAUCAUAAAAGGGGAAAGAGAAGAGAUUGAACUUGGAUCAUAAAAGAGGAAAGAGAUAACGAAGAAGAAGCAUGGGUUUUGUUGACGAAGAAGAGGUGUGGGUUUUGUUGAUCUAAGCUGGGUUUACUCACUCGAACUUCAUAUCACUUCAAGCAACAAUCUCAGUUUCAAUUACGGAAAUGUCGAGGGUCUCUUUGCACUAUAAAGCUUAAUUAGCCAAACCAUAGAAAGAAGGCCAACAAGCACAACAUCCCUGUCUGUGAGGAAAAAGUUACAGAGAAAAAACUUUAUUAGGUGAAGAGAAGGGUGAACCAGUUGCAGGUUUCAGUUGUGGCAUUAGCUCAAAGGAAGUUAGAAAUAAAGAAAUUAAAUGAAAAGUUAAGCUCCUUGGAAGACCAGCCGAAGAAAUACCAGGAAGAGGCCCAUGAGGUUUGCGGAAUUGUUAAAUCUAAGAAAAUUGAAAUCGAAAACAUGACUGAAAAAUCAGGCGUGAAAAGCUUACUUCUUUUGAAGGACAACUAACAGUACACCAAGAAGAAGCUCGUGAAGCCUCUGGGAUCGCUGAAUCAAGAAAAUCUGACAUUGAACAGUUGCAGUUGUGGCAUUAGCUCAAAGGGAGUUGGAAAUCAAGGAGUUAAAUGACAAGUUAAGCUCCCUUGAAGACCAGCUAAAGAAAUACCAGGAAGAGACCCUUGAGGUGUCGGGGAUCGCUGAAUUUCGUAAACUUGAAUUUGAAAAUAUGCUUCUGAAAUUACAAGAGAAGACGAAAAUGGUUGAUAAACUGCAUCUUGAAGCAGGUGAAGUUGAGACACGUAACGGAGCCUUGGCUGUGGCAAAUAUAAAACUCAUUCAGGAUCUAGCUUUGGCUGAGACCGAAUAAAGUGAUCUUCAAGCUAAAUUGUCACAUGCUCUGGAUGAGAAGGAUGCCAUUGCUGCAAAAUGUUUCUUGUCAGAGAAGGCAGUUGAGGAGUUACGCCAGGAGCUAACUUCUGAAAAGGAAAAGCUCCAGUCUGAGAUAUCCGCAGCCAGCUUCACAAAACAAUAAAGAACUUCAAGCAAUUGUGGUCAAAUUAGAAGAGCAACUAAAAGAAUAUAGAGGAAAAGAAGAUGCUUCAAUGAUUGAGAUUGAAAAUCUUAACGUUGAAACUUAUGAGAAAUCUUCCCUGCAAGCAAGGUUGAAGGAACUUGAAGAGAAAUGUCUGACAACUGAGGCUCAAUAGAAAUAAGAGGUUAAAAAUGUACAUACAUCUGCUACAGCGAGAGAGGUUGAUUUGACUUCUCAGUUGGAAAAUCAUAUGCAAAAACUCCACGAUCGUGAUUCGUUGUAGGAAAGGGUUGUGAAACUUGAAGAAGAGCUGCAGCUUGUAGAGACCACCGUAACCAAGCUGAUUAGUUAAACGAUUUUGCUUUAUGCCUUCUUUUAUACAAAAUGCUCAUGACAAUAGUUUCAGACAUAUGUCUUCUUGGGAAUAAUUUGUUGCCAAUCUUCGUAAUCUCCAAACACUUAUCAAAUUCACUGAAAAAUGUUAAUCAUCUGGAUUGCUGGUCUAACAGAAAAAGGAGAGUUCCGCAAAGAUAUCUGAAUUGGAAGUUGCCAAGAGUCAUACGGCUGAAGAGCUUGACGCCAAAAACAAAAAAAUCAUGUUUCUCGGAAAGAAAAUUGAGGAAGUUAGCUGUGUUGAAGAAAAUAUAUCGUAUUGUGAAACCUUGGUAUACUCACCUUGCUUUGGCUGGCACUAUCGGAGGAAAAUGGUGGAUGUGGAUUAUGAAGUAUGAACUAUGGAAGGAUAACAUCGAGGUGCAUCUUGAAGCUGCACCUUACAGAAAGUAUGGAUGUCCACUUUAAGAUGAUCUAUGCAAAAUAUUUACAAAGCCCAUAGCUACUGGAAAAUAUGCUUUCUCACCUGAGAUGAUUACUCUAGUCACUAGCUCUACUUCACGGAAAAAAAAAGGCUUAAGCUUGUACCUAUUAUAGCAGUUGGAUAUCAUGUAACAAACUACCUUAGAGUGGUUUGAUUUAAGGAAUAUAGGCCCAAUAAUUUUGUAAACACUAACAAACUACCUUUGGUUUGAUUCAGGGAAUGUUAAUCCCUACUUUUGUAAACUUUAUGUUAUAACUAAGUGUUUGUGCAUAGUAAAUAAGUUCUUACUCAAUA
Molecule: long non-coding RNA, 2473 nt
Organism: Spinacia oleracea (spinach)
Lineage: Eukaryota; Viridiplantae; Streptophyta; Magnoliopsida; Caryophyllales; Amaranthaceae
Exons: 5
Source: RefSeq, a predicted model, not a curated record